Molecule: long non-coding RNA, 116 nt
Organism: Amphimedon queenslandica
Lineage: Eukaryota; Metazoa; Porifera; Demospongiae; Haplosclerida; Niphatidae
Exons: 3
Source: RefSeq, a predicted model, not a curated record
UGGUUCUAUCAAUUGUUCUUUUUCCUGGUCAGCUGCCUUCUUUAAAGAGAUGCUCUUGGAUGAAAUACAGCAAGGAAGAUGCAGCCAGGAGUGAUACAAGACCUUCAAAAACAGAG